GACGAACGCUGGCGGCGUGCUUAACACAUGCAAGUCGAACGGAAAGGCCCGGCUUUUGUUGCUUUCUCGAUUGGCGAACGGGUGAGUAACACGUGUGUAACCUGCCCCUGUCUUUGGGAUAACUUCAGGAAACUGGGGCUAAUACCGGAUAUGAUCUCCUGCUGCAUGUGGUGGGUUGGAAAGUUUCGGCUUUUCUGGAUGGACUCGCUGGUUAUCAGCUUGUUUGUGUGGUAGGUGCUUACCAAGGGUUUGACGGGUAGCCGGCCUAAGAGGGUGAACGGGCACCUGGGGCCUGCGGUACGGACCAGAAUGCAAUCGGCGGCAGUAGUGGGGAGCCUGGCAGAACGGGCGGGAGCCAGAUGUAGAAAUGCUGCGUGCGGGAUGCCGGCCUUCGGGUUGUAAACAGCUUUGGCAUGUGACGAAGAGUGAGUGACGGUAAUGGGUAAAGAAGCCCCGGCUAACUACGUG
RNAcentral lists this ribosomal RNA (468 nucleotides) under uncultured bacterium. Its description in RNAcentral is "partial 16S ribosomal RNA". It matches the Rfam family "Bacterial small subunit ribosomal RNA", at positions 28 to 507 of the family's 1533-position model. The record is from RNAcentral.